UGGGGAAUAUUGCACAAUGGGCGAAAGCCUGAUGCAGCAACGCCGCGUGAGUGAUGAAGGUCUUCGGAUUGUAAAGCUCUGUCUUUUGGGACGAUAAUGACGGUACCAAAGGAGGAAGCCACGGCUAACUACGUGCCAGCAGCCGCGGUAAUACGUAGGUGGCGAGCGUUGUCCGGAUUUACUGGGCGUAAAGGGUGCGUAGGCGGAUGUUUAAGUGAGAUGUGAAAUACCCGGGCUUAACUUGGGUGCUGCAUUUCAAACUGGAUAUCUAGAGUGCAGGAGAGGAGAAUGGAAUUCCUAGUGUAGCGGUGAAAUGCGUAGAGAUUAGGAAGAACACCAGUGGCGAAGGCGAUUCUCUGGACUGUAACUGACGCUGAGGCACGAAAGCGUGGGUAGCAAACAGGAUUAGAUACCCUGGUAGUCCACGCCGUAAACGAUGAGUACUAGGUGUAGGAGGUAUCGACCCCUUCUGUGCCGCAGUAAAACACAUUAAAGUACUCCGCCUGGGAAGUACGAUCGC
This 520-nucleotide ribosomal RNA is filed under the name uncultured bacterium. RNAcentral's name for it is "partial 16S ribosomal RNA". It matches the Rfam family "Bacterial small subunit ribosomal RNA", at positions 355 to 889 of the family's 1533-position model. The record is from RNAcentral.